Long non-coding RNA from Centrocercus urophasianus (Greater sage-grouse), 4179 nucleotides. RefSeq lists it as uncharacterized. The transcript is spliced from 5 exons. NCBI's taxonomy places the organism in Eukaryota, Metazoa, Chordata, Aves, Galliformes, Phasianidae. The record is from RefSeq and is a predicted model, not a curated record.
GAGGCCAGCAGCUGUAAGCAGCAGAGACAAGAAUGAGACGGUGGCUUCAGAAAAACUUCAGAAAACUGUAAAUCUGGUUGUAGGGCAGCUGGUUGCAUUGAUAAUGCUGCAGCCCUUAAACACAAAAUGCUAGAUUGGUAUAAAACCAUUCUGAUGUAAGAUGCAUCAGCCUAUGGGACUCCAAACAGCACAGAACUGGGUCAAGAAUGCUCCCGCCAGGAAAGCCAAUGGUUACUUAAGGUUUGUCUACUCGGGGAGCUCAGAGCUGCUGAUGGAUGUUACCAAGCUUCAUGUGAACCAGCUUCAUCCAUGAAAAGGUAGCAGAAGGUGAAGUGUGCCAAAUUCAUGGCUGCUGGAAGCCACUUUCAAACUUCUAGCAAGGUGGUCUGUCCAGCUUUUAUUGCCACUGCUCUGUAUUGGUUACAGCUACAAGGAAAGGAAAUGUAUACCUGCCACUUGAAGUACCCAGAUGCAGGACAGACAUCUUGAGAGGACAUGCUCAAACAUUUCUGCCUAUUUUCAAGUGAGAAUAUUUACCUCUUGCAGUUCUGGAACUUCCAUGGCAGAUGAAGAAAAGAAACUGAAGACAAUGAGAUGAAGGAGGGAUUAUUCCCCUUUAACCAGGUUGUAACACAAACUUUCAGAAACUAUUUGUUACUUCCAUUGUCACAGGAACCACGUGACCACAGAUGAGAAUAACAUAUUUCCAACCAAAUUCUGUAACAACAUUUUCUCAACUGCUAAAGGAGUAAUAAGCUGAUGGUAAAACAUGAAUCAUUUAGUCUAUAUAAAUACAUGAUUUUAGCAUGGGUGCAUUGUGGAAAGCUAUGUCACAAGUGUAUGAUGUAUAUUGAAAGAUGAUGGAUAAUUUCACUGCAAUUAUUUGUUCUUUUUCAGAAGCCAUCUUAUCAUUUUCUGUAUUUUUCAUGAUUCUCAGCAGUGUAAAUGUGAGACUGAAUUAGGAAAAUCAGCCAAUUCUGGAUCAGGAUUGAUGUAGCAAGGUCACGAAGCAUUUCAACCGUGCAUGAAAAAGAGCUGGUAAUGUUGGAAUGUUAGUAUGCGGUAUUCAAUUAAGUGCUACAUAUUGUAGGAAGUAAAAAGAAACUAUUGGAUUUGUCAUGAAGUCACACUUCACUUUUUCUACAACUUACCAGUCAUUAUCAAGCUCUGAUGGCAGAUGAAGGAGCCAGUUUCUUCCAGUCUUUAGCAGGAAAGAAUGAAAACUCUUUCCUAUAACCAAAUCUCAUAGUUUUAAAAGUCACAGUACUGAUUAACCCGUAUGUAUUAGCUUUUGUCAAGCCCACAUGUAUUAGGUUUAGUCAUCUGAAUUUUUCUUGGUCUUUGCUGUAUAUCUUAGACUUAAAUUUUAUUUUGCCACCUAAUUUAAUGUUAUCAAAGCUUUAGACUGCAAUAUCAGUGUGUCUGCAUCUUGUUGAAUAAGUAUGAACUAUUUCCAAUGUGACUUGUGAGCCUGGGACCAAAAAAGGCGACAGAAAAGAGAAAGAAAAAUAUGUGAUGGCUGAGAAAACUGUAACAAGUCCUUACAAAGUUGAAGAUGUGAAGUGGAUAUGAUACAAACCUGUCAUUUUAUUCUGGUCAGAAAACUCGUGGGAUGGAUGAGAAAUAGAACAUGUUUGAGCACUGGAACUUUUUUUUUUAAACAAACUAUGAGAUGAAUUCUGUGAAGAAAAAAGGAGUUAGUCAGUAUCACCUCAUUUGUCAUUCCUGUAGAGCAAAGAAGAACAUGUUACUUCAGCUCUUCUGAAACCAAGCUGCAGCAUGAAAUUCAUAGAGGUCCCUGGAAGAUCUAUGUCUCCACCUAUGGAUAGGAAUACCUGCAAGCACUUAUAUUACCUGUACAGCUGUCUGUCUUCAGCACUGUUGUUUGGUGUCUGUAUUAGAAAAAAUACAGCUAUAGACUCAUACACAGUAAUUUGACAGCUCUAUCUGGGAUUUCGUAAUCCAUAAAAUUCUACGUGAAUAGGAAAAUGCUGAUAAAUUUCAGGAGGUGCCGAAGUAUAGUCCAACUCAUUUUAACAACCGAGGCUGUUAUGUAACAGGACUUUUCCUUGUAUGUCCUUUUUCUAAAGGAAAUAGAAGAUUUUCUGCCUCACUGUGGAGAGGAUCAAAAACUGAGCCAGGUUACAGAGCUUAUGGUGAAGUGAGGAGUUUUGUUCACUUCAAUCCCAGAACCACCAGAUUCCAAAGUUACUAUCACCACAGUGGUGGUGGUAAUAUUUCAACACUUAGUUGAGGAUUGUGUCCCUUAAAGUCAACAAACUUGUAGCAUGGUAUUAAUAUAAUCUUUAAUACUCAUUAAAACUGAAAAUAUGGCCUUUUGAAAUAAUACUGCCUUCUUUCCUGAAAUGGUUAUAGUGCUAGAAGCAUUAUUUGACAGUAGCAAAAUGUCUUAUUGAUGUGCCUUUAAAAGAAAGUUUUACAGAAAGCAUUUUAAUGCACUUAGCCAUUGAAAAAUUUACUUGCUGUGCAGUUUUUUGAAUAACAUAUAUUGAAUAUAGUAUUUAUGAUGAGAUUUAGAACCAGGAUGUAUUAGUAUGUAGAUGAAAAUUACUUAUGCUGUGUUUUUGCAAUUAUUCUCUGGCAUAAAUCUGGAAUGAAGUCCCUAGAAAUUCCAACAUAAAAAUCUGAAAUGUAAUAUUAAUAACCUGAAAUUGAGUAGUGCUCUUGAACUGUAGUAGAAAUAUUGUGUCCUCAAUUGUAAUUAAUUUCAUUCAAUUUCAGUAUACAUGAGAGAUGAAUGUGAUGGAAGACAGUAUCAAUAAGUAAUAAAUGAAAUAGUAUCAAUAAGAAAUAAAUGAAAUAACUGAUAUUCCAGAUCUUUACAGACAGUGCUAAUCUUGUUGCAACAACCUCAGGCAUAGAAGGAUACUAAUUAAUGACUCAAAUUAAUAAAUUUGAGAAUUUACUUUAAAAAUAAAUAAUCCUAAAGCUUUUUGCUUAAAAAAAUAUAAUCGUUCUUAAAAAUUAAAUCUCUAAAUUUCUGCUAAUUGAUUCACAUGCUUGGCUAUAUUUUAUUAUUCACUUUCUGAAUAACAAAAGCAUUGGAUAGUGAAAAUAGUUGUAAGAAGCAAGAGGAGAAAUUAUUUCUUGUGCCAGUUGACUAUCAUUUGAUGACUAAAAAAUUAUCAAUGACAAGGAGGAAGCACAAACCUGCUUAUACUAGUACUUCAAAAUGUUACAACUUGAGUUGUCCAUCUGUUGUGCUGAAAGAAGACGUGAUUUUUGCUCCAUGUGCUAUCAUUGCCAUAUAUGAUAAAGCUGUACAAACAGAUAUGUAAUAUUGAUUAACAAAAAAGAACAAGAGACAGGGCUACAGAAGGAUAUUCAGACAUCCAAGGUAGGAUAUCAAUUUGCGACACUCUACCUGUCUCCACAGCACAAAGAGGGAAGAGAACAUGCUUCUCUUUUUUAGCCAAGUGUAGGCUGGGUAGAUGGCUACUUAGAAACUCUUGAGUUUCAUGCAUUCAGUCUGCUUGUUCCAGUCUGGCACUCUUUCUAAAGUGUCUUUCUGCUUUAUUUAUUGUGUCAGCCAGAAGUGGUAACGUUAAUGCUCUAUUUUAAUUUCUGAAAUAAAACAAUCCUCAAGUUUCUUCAUAUGGUUCCCGUAGGCUCUCAAUAUUACUCUGAAACUUACUGCCUUUUACUGCCUUGGCAGAUAUCAAUAUUGACUGUGAAGAGUUAAAUGAAAUGGCCAGGAUGCCUUUGGCACAUUGUUCAUAGUCUCACCUAAGCAGACAUGAAAAACAGUAAGUAGAAGAGACUUGCAAUCAUGCACGGGCAAAAAAAGUGGCCACUGCACCUUUCACUCCCUCAUGAAGUUUACUACCAGACAAAAGAUAAAUCUGAGUUGUAUGUAGUAUGCAGACUUUUGACCGGCCAAACAAAAAAAAAAGUUCACCUUAGAAAACCUAAAUCGUCCUUCUGAGUCGCAAAACCUAAUCAAAAACUUUACACACACAUAUAUAUGUUUGUUAUAAUUAGCACAGAACUGGACAUAAGUUCUUUUUUUUAAUCUCUAUAAUUAGAGUAAGAUCACUUAAUUUGAAUUUCCCCUGGAUGUAUUUUUAUAGCACUUGGGCCAUUCAGGUUUGUUUCAGGUUUUUUUUUUGUUGUUCUUGAUUUUUUUUUGUGUCUAUUGUUGCAUUGCUUUUUUUCCUG